CAGUAGGGAGGAAGGUAGUGUAGUUAACACCUGCAUUAUUUGACGUUACCUACAGAAGAAGCACCGGCUAACUCCGUGCCAGCAGCCGCGGUAAUACGGAGGGUGCGAGCGUUAAUCGGAAUUACUGGGCGUAAAGCGCAUGCAGGCGGCCUGUUAAGUCAGAUGUGAAAGCCCGGGGCGUUAACCUCGGAAUUGCAUUUGAAACUGGCAGGCUAGAGUCUUGUAGAGGGGGGUAGGAAUUUCAGGUGUAGCGGUGAAAUAGCGUAGAGAUCUGAAGGAAUACCAGUGGCGAAGGCGGCCCCCUGGACAAAGACUGACGCUCAGAUGCGAAAGCGUGGGGAGCAAACAGGAUUAGAUACCCUGGUAG
This 367-nucleotide ribosomal RNA is filed under the name uncultured bacterium. Its description in RNAcentral is "bacterial SSU rRNA". It matches the Rfam family "Bacterial small subunit ribosomal RNA", at positions 434 to 793 of the family's 1533-position model. The record is from RNAcentral.